AUUGAACGCUGGCGGCAGGCCUAACACAUGCAAGUCGAGCGAGCGGCGGACGGGUGUGUAAUGUAUGGGGACUGCCCGAUAGAGGGGGAUAACUACUGGAAACGGUGGCUAAUACCGCAUACUAUCGGAUCAGCCAUAUGGGAUUAGCUAGUAGGUAGGGUAAUGGCUUACCUAUGCGACGAUCCCUAGCUGGUCUGAGAGGAUGAUCAGCCACACUCGGACUGAGACACGGCCCAGACUCCUACGGAGGCAGCAGUGGGGAAUAUUGCACAAUGGGCGCAAGCCUGAUGCAGCCAUGCCGCGUGUAUGAAGAAGGCCCUAGGGUUGUAAAGUACUUUCAGUCGGGAGGCGUUACCGACAGAAGAAGCACCGGCUAACUCCGUGCCAGCAGCCGCGGUAAUUC
RNAcentral lists this ribosomal RNA (403 nucleotides) under uncultured bacterium. RNAcentral's name for it is "partial 16S ribosomal RNA". It matches the Rfam family "Bacterial small subunit ribosomal RNA", at positions 30 to 526 of the family's 1533-position model. The record is from RNAcentral.